GGAAGCAAAAGUCGUAACAAGGUUUCCGUAGGUGAACCUGCGGAAGGAUCAUUAAUGAGUUGUCAUGGGGUUCGAUGCUGGCAGCCAGUUUUUGGAUGCAUGUGCUUGCCCUAACAAUCAUCUUCUUCCAAACACCUGUGCACAUUUUUGAGGGAGUCUUGAGUUGGUUGCCGCUCUUGGGUGAUUUUCUCACAUUCCCUUAAAUCAUUAUACGCUAUUAACAAUGUUGAACGUGCUCUGUGCCGCAAGGCCAUUAAUAUAAUACAACUUUUAACAACGGAUCUCUUGGCUUUC
This 294-nucleotide unclassified non-coding RNA is filed under the name plant metagenome. RNAcentral describes it as "partial contains small subunit ribosomal RNA and internal transcribed spacer 1". The stretch from base 1 to 54 matches the Rfam family "Eukaryotic small subunit ribosomal RNA", at positions 1778 to 1831 of the family's 1831-position model. The record is from RNAcentral.